This is a long non-coding RNA of Gasterosteus aculeatus aculeatus (three-spined stickleback), 1723 nucleotides long. Lineage: Eukaryota; Metazoa; Chordata; Actinopteri; Perciformes; Gasterosteidae. The record is from Ensembl.
GGAUAAGAUCUGAGUACUUAUUCCUGCUCUGAUGAAUUUUCAGAACCUUGACCGUGAGCUGAGAGGAUGAAGAUGAAGAUGGUGAAGAUGAAGAUGAUGAAUAUGAGGGAGAAGACGGGGAAAUGAAGAUGAUGAAGUGUGAAAGCAGCAGCACCGUGUUGACUCAGACUGUGGAGAAUCCUCAGGCCUUCAGGUUAAAGGUGAAGGACCACACAGAGAGGCCACUUACACACGUACAGACACACACACGCACACACGGUGUAAUGUGAGUCUGCGUCUGUGAUCUGCUCAUCACAACAUUUACUGAUGUUUAACACACAACCAGCAGAGUGUGUUUACUGCUCCCUGUGUGUUCAACACACACACAAACUACUAAAAUAUAAACAUGUAUUGGAACAUGUAUGAUGUUUAUUACUUUGUAAAGAUUCAAACAUUUUUUAUAAACUGUGACUGUUUACUGAAGGCUUUUCCUGCAUUUUAAUGUACUUUAUUACGUUAAAACAUUAAACCUAACUUUAUCAGCUCUUUUUUAAAUAUGCUUUAUGGACAACUUGUCUUUCUCUUAAAACAUUUAUAAUAUGUAUUAUAUUCAAAGCCCAAAACCCGCUGGCCUUUAGAACGGAACAAACCAAAAAGGACCCUGAACGCCUCACCAGCUCAGCAGCAUCAGACGGCGUUCAGGUGUAACCUCUGAGGAGUCUAACUGGUUUCACACCAGUUCAAGGUUGAGGUCGAUGUUCUUCCUUGACUGGGACUCUUCAUCCAAUCCAAACUCACAAACACAACAAACCACACAACUGUCUGCAGAGCGGAUGAGUGACGGGAGGGGCUGGCUGCUUCCAGGGGGGUCAGCUGGUCCAGAAGGAAAGAAAGGCCUGCUCCCAGUCCCCGAGCACCCCAAGGGUCAACAGGACCCCACACCCUCGACACGAACCCCGCCCAGACCCAAUCGGACCUCCGCAUGCUGCUCGGUAAUCACCUGGGCUGGACCUCAGUGUAACAGAUCCCAGGUUCUCUGCAGGAGGGAGGUCAGCUUCUACAUGAUGCAGUAAGAGACCAGAUAGAGACCAGAUAUGGGCCCCAUAGAGAGCAGAUAGAGGCCCAAUAUAGGCCAGAUAAAGACCAGAUAGAGAAAAGAUAGAGACCAGCUAGAGGCCUGAUAGAGACCAUAUAGAGACCAGAUAGAGGGAUGGCCAAGACCUGAUAGAGACCAGAUAGAGGCCGAAUAGAGACCUUAUAGACACCAGAUAAAGGCCUGAUAGAGAAAAGAUAGAGACCCAAUAGAGACCAGAUAGAGGCCUGAGAGAGACCUGUUAGAGACCAGAUAGAGGCCAGAUAAAGGCCUGAUAGAGACCAGAUAAAGACCCAACAUACAUAUACCCCCAAAAGCGGUAUUAAGAUUAGAGGGAAUUGCAGUUUGAGUUCAGUUUCCACAACUCGUGAUGUAUAUGUAUUUAUAUAUGUAUGUAUAAACCUGUAUUUAUAUAAGUAGAUAUACAUGCAUAUUUAUAUACACACACAUUCAGUGUACCAAGCUGCUCUCAGAGGUGAAGAGGUUGUGAGGCCUGAAAGAGUUCAUUUAAAACUAAAUUUACGAUCUGAACUUCGUCUCCGUCUCGUUUUACCGCCGAGCGUCCCGUCAGCGGGAUCCACCCAACCCGCCCGAGCAGGUGUCUCCAUCUUGUUUUUCUUUCAAAUGGCAGAGAUCUCAUCUUCAUUCGGG